Molecule: non-coding RNA, 72 nt
Organism: Trichonephila clavipes
Lineage: Eukaryota; Metazoa; Arthropoda; Arachnida; Araneae; Nephilidae
Source: the annotation of a GenBank genome assembly
GGGGGUAUAGCUCAGUGGUAGAGCCUUCGACUGCAGAUCGAGUGGCCCCCGUUUCAAACCCAGGUGUUCUCU